CAGCAGCCGCGGGAACACGAAGGGUGCAAGCGUUAAUCGGAAUUACUCGGCGUAAAGCGUGCGUAGGCGGUUUGUUAAGUCUGCUGUGAAAUCCCCGGGCUCAACCUGGGAAUGGCAGUGGAUACUGGCAAGCUAGAGUGUGUCAGAGGAUGGUGGAAUUCCCGGUGUAGCGGUGAAAUGCGUAGAGAUCGGGAGGAACAUCAGUGGCGAAGGCGGCCAUCUGGGACAACACUGACGCUGAGGCACGAAAGCGUGGGGAGCAAACAGGAUUAGAUACCCCCGUAGUCCCUGUCUCUUAUAC
This 301-nucleotide ribosomal RNA is filed under the name uncultured bacterium. RNAcentral describes it as "partial 16S ribosomal RNA". It matches the Rfam family "Bacterial small subunit ribosomal RNA", at positions 509 to 807 of the family's 1533-position model. The record is from RNAcentral.